RNAcentral lists this ribosomal RNA (2874 nucleotides) under metagenome. Its description in RNAcentral is "bacterial LSU rRNA". It matches the Rfam family "Bacterial large subunit ribosomal RNA". The record is from RNAcentral.
GAAAGUAAGCAAGGGCAGACGGUGGAUGCCUUGGCUCUCGGAGGCGACGAAGGACGUGAUAAGCUGCGAAAAGCCCGGGGGAGGCGCAAAUAGCCCUUGAUCCCGGGAUAUCCGAAUGGGGCAACCCGGCAGGCUGAAGGCCUGCCAUCCCGUAAGGGAGGCGAACGUGGGGAACUGAAACAUCUAAGUACCCAUAGGAGGAGAAAAUAAACAAUGAUUCCGUAAGUAGUGGCGAGCGAACACGGAAGAGCCCAAACCCGUGCCGUCUAGGCGACACGGGGGUUGUAGGACCACGACGUGGCAAGAUAGAGUCAAGUGGAACGCCUUGGAAAAGGCGACCGUAGAGGGUGAUAGUCCCGUACACGACUGACGAUUGAAGCCUAGUGGCAUCCUGAGUAGCGCGGGGCACGAGAAAUCUUGCGUGAAACUGCGGGGCCCAUCCCGUAAGGCUAAAUACUCCCGAGAGACCGAUAGCGAACCAGUACCGUGAGGGAAAGGUGAAAAGAACCCCGAGCAGGGGAGUGAAAUAGACCCUGAACCCGUCUGCCUACAAGCGGUCGGAGCAUCGUCAAGAUGUGACGGCGUGCCUUUUGCAUAAUGAACCUACGAGUUACCUUCCCCGGCAAGGUUAAGUACCUAAGGUACGGAGCCGAAGCGAAAGCGAGUCUGAAUAGGGCGGCCAGUCGGGGGGGGUAGACGCGAAACCGAGUGAUCUACCCUUGGCCAGGUUGAAGGUUGGGUAACACCAACUGGAGGACCGGAUGGGUAAGCGUUGAAAAGCUUUCCAAUGAGCUGAGGGUAGGGGUGAAAGGCUAAUCAAACUCGGAGAUAGCUCGUACUCCCCGAAAUGCAUUUAGGUGCAGCCUCUUUAUAGUAUAUCGUGAGGUAGAGCGACUGAUUGGAUGCGAGGGCUUCACCGCCUAUCAAGUCCAGAUAAACUCCGAAUGCGCGAUAUAUAUUUAAAGGGAGUGAGGGCGCGGGUGCUAAGGUCCGUGUCCGAGAGGAGAAGAAUCCAGACCACCGGCUAAGGCCCCCAAAUGAUCGUUGAGUUGAACUAACGAGGUCGGAUCGCAGAGACAGCUAGGAUGUUGGCUUGGAAGCAGCCAUUCAUUUAAAGAGUGCGUAACAGCUCACUAGUCGAGCGAUCUGGCGUGGAUAAUAAUCGGGCAUAAACGAUCUGCCGAAGCCGUGGAUGUCGUAAGACAUGGUAGGGGAGCAUUCCAUGGGCGUCGAAGAUGAGGGAUGACCCUUGUUGGAGCGCAUGGAAAAGCAAAUGUAGGUAUGAGUAACGAUAAGGGGGGCGAGAAACCCCCCCGCCGAAAGACCAAGGUUUCCUGAUCAACGCUAAUCGGAUCAGGGUGAGUCGGGACCUAAGGCAAAGCCGAACGGCGCCGCCGAUGGAAGAAUGGGUUAAUAUUCCCAUACUGCCUCAUGGAGUGACGUGGAGACGGAGAAGUGACAGUCCUGCCGGCUGACGGAAUAGCCGGUUGAAGGGUGUAGAUAUUGAUUCCCGUAGGCAAAUCCGCGGGGAGAGUCGAACCUGAGAGUAUACGGAGCGCUUGCGCAACGUAAUAUGGACGUAACCAUGCUCCCGAGAAAAUCCGCUAAACUUAUCCAUGCGGCACCCGUACCGUAAACGGACACACGUGGUCGGGUUGAGAAUACUGAGGCGCUCGAGUGACUCACGGUUAAGGAACUAGGCAAAUUGACCCUGUAACUUCGGGAUAAAGGGUCCUCGUCGUAAGGCGAGGCGCAGAGAAUAGGUCCAGGCAACUGUUUAACAAAAACACAUGGCUGUGCUAAAUGGAAACAUGACGUAUACAGCCUGACACCUGCCCGGUGCUGGAAGGUUAAGAGGAGAUGUCAUCGCAAGAGAAGCGUUGAAUUGAAGCCCCAGUAAACGGCGGCCGUAACUAUAACGGUCCUAAGGUAGCGAAAUUCCUUGUCGGGUAAGUUCCGACCUGCACGAAUGGUGUAAUGAUCUGGACGCUGUCUCAACCGUGAGCUCAGUGAAAUUGUAGUAUCGGUGAAGAUGCCGAUUACCCGCGAUGGGACGAAAAGACCCCGUGAACCUUUACUAUAGCUUUACAUUGAAUUUGGGCAGACGAUGUGUAGGAUAGGCCGGAGGCUUUGAAGGGGGUACGCCAGUAUCCUUGGAGCCGCCGUUGAAAUACGGCCCUUCGGUUGUUUGAGUUCUAACUCCUAGGCAGGAGGACACUGUAUGGUGGGUAGUUUGACUGGGGUGGUCGCCUCCAAAAGCGUAACGGAGGCUUCUAAAGGUGCCCUCAGACCGAUUGGUAACCGGUCGCAGAGUGUAAUGGCAUAAGGGCGCUUGACUGGGAGAGAUACAACUCGAUCAGGUAGGAAACUAGAGCAUAGUGAUCCGGUGGUUCCGCAUGGAAGGGCCAUCGCUCAAAGGAUAAAAGGUACUCCGGGGAUAACAGGCUGAUCAUUCCCAAGAGCUCAUAUCGACGGAAUGGUUUGGCACCUCGAUGUCGGCUCGUCACAUCCUGGGGCUGGAGAAGGUCCCAAGGGUUGGGCUGUUCGCCCAUUAAAGUGGCACGCGAGCUGGGUUCAGAACGUCGUGAGACAGUUCGGUCUCUAUCUAUCGUGGGCGCAGGAGAUUUGAGGGGCUCUGACACUAGUACGAGAGGACCGUGUUGGACGUACCACUGGUUUACCGGUUGUCCCGCCAGGGGCACCGCCGGGUAUCUAAGUACGGAUCGGAUAAGUGCUGAAAGCAUCUAAGUACGAAGCCGGCCUCAAGAUUAGAUCUCCCUCAAGGGUGGUUAUAGACGAUGACCUUGAUAGGCCACAGGUGUAAGGGCGGCGACGUCCGAGCCGAGUGGUACUAAUAGCCCGGGACUUUCCUCA